UUUAGCCAAGCUGACUCACCGGUACAACACCAGAGCUAAUCGUCCAAAAUAUCAUGGAACACCUUGAGCAAGAGAACCUAGACUUUAAGAGGAGAUUGCCCGACUGACUGCCAUGAUGGAGUCAGUUCUUGCUGCCUAGAGCUAAGCUUCUCCAACUCUUGCAACUCCUCCCGCGAGGACUGUCAUCUCUGAAGUGGUUA
RNAcentral lists this long non-coding RNA (200 nucleotides) under Lathyrus oleraceus (garden pea). RNAcentral's name for it is "Pisum sativum (pea) long non-coding RNA (PSAT_LNC031320)". The record is from RNAcentral. Lineage: Eukaryota; Viridiplantae; Streptophyta; Magnoliopsida; Fabales; Fabaceae.